RNAcentral lists this long non-coding RNA (3098 nucleotides) under Numida meleagris (helmeted guineafowl). RNAcentral describes it as "lncRNA (ENSNMEG00000020163.1)". Lineage: Eukaryota; Metazoa; Chordata; Aves; Galliformes; Numididae. The record is from RNAcentral.
UUCAACACAGACUUGUUCAUAUUCUCAAUUCCAUGCUAGCAGAAUCCUAGAAACCCCACUGUGUCAUGCUUUUUUUUUUCCAGUCUGAAUAACACAGCUAAUGUCAUUUCCUACUCACCAACAACCAGAUGACUAAGAAUCAGGAGUCCGAGAAACUCUGAGCUCUGGGGUCUGUCACUUGGCAUUUCAAGCACAAAACAGUCUAAAUAAACGCACUGAAUUUACCGCUUUUCACACCUUUUUUGAACCACUUGUGUCCUAAGUCUUAUUAUCACUACCAACAAUCACUGUGAACACUGCCUGCUGCCUUCAAGGCAUGGUAGCCAUAAUGGUAGCAUGAAUCAGAAUUAGAUACACUAACUGUAGUAAAUCAACAGCACUGAGCAAUCCCAUUUCAUUAACAUCAGCAACUCAUCACCAGCUGCACCUUCGAGACAGAUGGCUGCAGCUGACUCCCAAGGCUUUGCUUUCUCUUGCCACCCACAGUGGGUUGAAGUGACAGAGUAGUCUGAGUUUGUUUAUACACUGAAAAUGUCCUCUUCUGUCCUGUAGCCUUCUUUUGCCAUCUCUUUUUCUUAAUGAGGGGAAAAUCAAGGGAAAAAAAAAAAAGACCUUUAUUUCAGGACGAAUAAAGGAGUUCCAAAAUCCAAGGCUGAAAGAUUUACAUCUUACACUAGCACCAUUAAAAGACCUACAUUGGCUACUGCGAUACCAUAACAACAAGUGAUUAAAAAAGCCUUUUUCUGGGGGGAAUUAAUUCUACAUAGUAGGUAGGAAAUGCUUUUUUUUUUUUUCCUUUUUCCUAUCUUAAUUCAAAUACCAUUCUUAGGCAAAGAAAUGAACUCAGAAAAUAAACCUUCUGCAUUGUCACUGAUCAAACAACCCCAGUUGUACUCCGCCUCCUGCACUGAGUUGUGCCAAAGACACUUUCCAAAGUCCACUUGAAAUUAAGAAAGCUUCUGUGAAGACAACUUAUAGCCAGCUCUAUUCACUCACCAAGACAUAUGGAGUUUCAAAUAGCAGUAACCUGCCUGCACAGGGCCCUCCAUCAUGUGGAAAAACAACUUCCUCGCUGUCUGACCCUGUUUGUCUGUGGAGCUGUCUUUCAGUCCUCCUGCAGAAGCUUUUCAAUAUUAGCCAAUUUCAACCAAGUUUGGCCAAGGCAAAAAGAACCAAAAGGUACUACAUCUAUAAAAUCAGACUGCCAUCAAGCAGAAAAACUGUGAGUAUCCCUAUUAAGGAAAAUUCUUCACCCUUAAUGCAGCCCUUCUUAGGCCUUGGAGCACUUGUGGAGGCCAAGGGAGGAGGCAAUUUACGCUGCCAUGAUCACAUGUUCAGCAGAAUCUGAGCCACCUAGUUCAGACCAAGUUUGUUGUAUUGAGUGUGGCUGGGGGGGACUGUAUUUCCUUCAUAGCAGCCUGUAUGGUGAUUUGUUUUGCAUUUUUGACUUAAACAGUGUUGCUAACACACAAGUGCUUCGGCUGUUGCUGAUACAUUGAAGCUCUCUCUGCUUCUCUGUACCCUGGUGAGUGGGCCAGGGACAGGCAAGGGGUUGGGAGGGUACAGAGCUGGGACAGCUGACCUGAUCUCACCAAGAGGUUACUCCAUGGUGAAUAAUGUCAUGCUCAGCAACAAAAACUGGGAGGUUUUCUUUCUAAAGUAGCUGUUGUUUGGAGACUGACUGGGCAUCAGUCUGAUUGUGGGUGGUGGAGAGUGACUGCUUUUCCAUCACUAUUUGUCUCUUUCCUCCUGUUAUUAAACUAUCUUUACCUCAGCCCACGUGUAUUUUGUAACUUGCUUUUGCUCUACAUUCACCUACAUCUGCAUGAGAUCUACCAGUAGCACUAAAGGCAAACUCUGAGGAUAAAAAACUGAAACAAGUUUGGUUAACAAAUAAGUUAUCAAUCUGGAGCUAUUCAAACCCAUCAAGCUAUCAGAUUCACUGAAAAUAGAAGCUUUACAGUACUGUAAGGUUGUUUAAAAAAAAAAGAAAAGUUAUGGUAGCACUUGGAGAAAACAUUUACAACAUUCACAAACAUGUUUAAGGAUGAUUACCUAUAUUUGCUCACUUUGCAGUAACUUGCUUCUAUCCUGUGAUACACAGCAGUAGAUAGCAUAAUGUAUAAUUGCAAAAAACAAAAACAAACAAAAACAAAAAAAAACAAAAAAAAACCAUGAUAAAUUGUCAGAAAGAAAGUGUAGAUAACUGAUAAACUGGAGGUGCACCUUUUAGAAACAAGCUUUGGGAAAUGCAGACUGUCAGGAUGGUUAUGAUGUGUCAGCAUAGUGUAUCUGUGAAGAGCAUGCUGUGAUCCUGGAACGUGCCGGAAGUGUUUCUGGUAGAGACAUGAGGGCCACGGUGAGACAGUUCAUGCCAUUAUAUGCAAAAUCCCAUCACUCAUAUUUGAAAAAAAAAGGUAAAAUCUAAAUAACUUGAUUCUAGGAGGAUGAGAGAAAUGGUGAACCAAGCUUCUGAGUUUGGCUUACUUAAUCUGAAAAACAACAACAAACAGAGUGGAAAUGUGAUUGCUCUCUAGAAUAGUCAGGGAACGAAGGGAGUACUGAACACAAAUGGUAAAAUGAAAACUUUAAGCUUGGAAAGUAUAUUGAUAAAAGAGUAACUAGUUAUAAACUGGCCAUUCAGUACGUGAAAUGAAAAUGUGUUUCAUCAUUAGCAGCCAGAAUUGGGUUCCAAAAUUGCUUUGCAAUGAAGUAAAUGAGACUGAAAAAAAUUGCUUACAAGAGCCUUCUGUAAGCAUAUCGAAAAUCUUACAUAGCAAGGUGUCUGUGGGAGCAGGCUGGACACAACAAGCUAACAAGACCUUUCUGCUCCCAAGAGCUUAAUAUUAUGAAAAGAAAAAAAAAGAAAACAAAUAUGGUGCAAGUAUCAGGAAAUCCUCCUGGUAGGGAGAUUUCUCUGUUAAUGCCAUUGACUAGCCAAGGAAGCUGUUGAAUGAGAGAGAAUGACUGGAUUAAUAAGAAAGACUUCUGGAUUUCACUCUGCAAGCAGUUAAAUAAUUGUUCUGACAGUCCUCGAAGUUUGAAAUUUCAUUUGGGAUUAUAUCAAAUAAAGCCUGGAGAACAAAGUUGGGGGAACA